RNAcentral lists this ribosomal RNA (221 nucleotides) under uncultured bacterium. RNAcentral's name for it is "partial 16S ribosomal RNA". It matches the Rfam family "Bacterial small subunit ribosomal RNA", at positions 524 to 744 of the family's 1533-position model. The record is from RNAcentral.
UACGAAGGGGGCUAGCGUUGCUCGGAAUACUGGGCGUAAAGCGUGCGCAGGCGGUUUUGUAAGUCUGUCGUGAAAUCCCCGGGCUCAACCUGGGAAUUGCGAUGGAGACUGCAAGGCUAGAAUCUGGCAGAGGGGGGUAGAAUUCCACGUGUGAGCAGUGAAAUGCGUAGAGAUGUGGAGGAACACCGAUGGCGAAGGCAGCCCCCUGGGUCAAGAUUGAC